GGCCUACGGGACGCAGCAGUGGGGGAUAUUGCACAAUGGGGAAACCCUGAUGCAGCGACGCCGCGUGGGCGAAGAAGUAUUUCGGUAUGUAAAGCUCUAUCAGCAGGGAAGAAAAUGACGGUACCUGACUAAGAAGCCCCGGCUAACUACGUGCCAGCAGCCGCGGUAAUACGUAGGGGGCAAGCGUUAUCCGGAUUUACUGGGUGUAAAGGGAGCGUAGACGGACUUGCAAGUCUGAUGUGAAAAUCCGGGGCCCAACCCCGGAACUGCAUUGGAAACUGUAUAUCUAGAGUGUCGGAGAGGCA
RNAcentral lists this ribosomal RNA (305 nucleotides) under uncultured bacterium. RNAcentral describes it as "bacterial SSU rRNA". It matches the Rfam family "Bacterial small subunit ribosomal RNA", at positions 335 to 659 of the family's 1533-position model. The record is from RNAcentral.